This 465-nucleotide ribosomal RNA is filed under the name uncultured bacterium. Its description in RNAcentral is "partial 16S ribosomal RNA". It matches the Rfam family "Bacterial small subunit ribosomal RNA", at positions 28 to 507 of the family's 1533-position model. The record is from RNAcentral.
GACGAACGCUGGCGGCGUGCUUAACACAUGCAAGUCGAACGGAAAGGCCCCUUUGGGGGUACUCGAGUGGCGGACGGGGGAGUAACACGUGAGUAACCUGCCCUUGACUUCGGGAUAACUUCAGGAAACUGGGGCUAAUACCGGAAAGGAAUCCUUGCUGCAUGGUGGGGGUUGGAAAGCUUCUGCGGCUUUGGAUGGACUCGCGGGCUAUCAGCGUGUUGGUGGGGUAGUGGCUUACCAAGGCUUUGACGUGUAGCCGGCCUGAGAGAGCGAGAGGCCACACUGGGACCGAGGUGCGGCCCAGACUGCGAAGGGUGGCAGAAGUGGGGAAUCUUGCACAAUGGGCGGAGGCCUGAUGCAGCAACGCCGCGUGUGGGAUGACGGCCUUCGGGUUGUAAAACGCUUUCAGCAGGGGCGAAGCUUGUGGUGACGGUACCUGCAGAAGAAGCACCGGCUAACUACGUG